CGGCGGACGGGUGAGUAACGCGUAGGUAACCUGCCUCAUACAGGGGGAUAACAGUUGGAAACGGCUGCUAAUACCGCAUAAGCGCACAGUACCGCAUGGUACGGUGUGAAAAACUCCGGUGGUAUGAGAUGGACCCGCGUCUGAUUAGGUAGUUGGUGGGGUAACGGCCUACCAAGCCGACGAUCAGUAGCCGACCUGAGAGGGUGACCGGCCACAUUGGGACUGAGACACGGCCCAG
This 238-nucleotide ribosomal RNA is filed under the name uncultured bacterium. Its description in RNAcentral is "partial 16S ribosomal RNA". It matches the Rfam family "Bacterial small subunit ribosomal RNA", at positions 96 to 334 of the family's 1533-position model. The record is from RNAcentral.